This 381-nucleotide long non-coding RNA is filed under the name Elaeis guineensis (African oil palm). RNAcentral's name for it is "long non-coding RNA (EGUI_LNC080527)". Lineage: Eukaryota; Viridiplantae; Streptophyta; Magnoliopsida; Arecales; Arecaceae. The record is from RNAcentral.
GAUAAAAUUGAUAUAAUAAUUAACUAAAUAAAUGUAAGAACCUGAUAUGUUUUAUGUCAAUUGCAGGUAAUUGAGCCAGGUCACACCUAAUUGGGCUUAACCAUAUUUUAAAGGUCAAAUUAAGUGAAAUUGGUUGAGUCCGAUUCAGCAGGAUUUGUCAUCCAGAGUUAUCAGGUCUUGCAUCAAAAUCAGAGUCUACCUCAAAGCAGAAUAACCAAAUCAAGAUAUCAAUGGACCCCACACCUUAUCCUUUUUGGCAUCAUCAGCCAGAAAAGAAAUUAGAGAUGCAGAAAAUAAAUCAAGCAGUUAAUCUCUCCCAUCUAGUCAACCAAUCUAAAUUCUGGAUAUUUUGGUGUGAGGAUCCCUAAAAGGCAAGCUACA